This 134-nucleotide small nuclear RNA is filed under the name Mola mola (ocean sunfish). Its description in RNAcentral is "U4 spliceosomal RNA (ENSMMOG00000014557.1)". The record is from RNAcentral. Lineage: Eukaryota; Metazoa; Chordata; Actinopteri; Tetraodontiformes; Molidae.
ACCAUUGCAGAUGGAAUAUCAUAGCCUGUAAGGUUAAUCUGAGGUGCGAUUAUUGCCUGUUGAAAUCUAUAACUAACGCAGGCUAAAGGUAUGGAUAUUGAGUAAUACUCCAAAGACAACUCAGCCUUUUUUGU